AACGAACGCUGGCGGCAUGCCUAACACAUGCAAGUCGAACGAGACCUUCGGGUCUAGUGGCGCACGGGUGCGUAACGCGUGGGAACCUGCCUUUAGGUUCGGAAUAACUCAGAGAAAUUUGAGCUAAUACCGGAUGAUGUCUUCGGACCAAAGAUUUAUCGCCUUUAGAUGGGCCCGCGUUGGAUUAGCUAGUUGGUGGGGUAAAGGCCUACCAAGGCGACGAUCCAUAGCUGGUCUGAGAGGAUGAUCAGCCACACUGGGACUGAGACACGGCCCAGACUCCUACGGGAGGCAGCAGUGGGGAAUAUGGGACAAUGGGCGAAAGCCUGAUCCAGCAAUGCCGCGUGAGUGAUGAAGGCCUUAGGGUUGUAAGCUCUUUUACCCGAGAUGAUAAUGACAGUAUCGGGAGAAUAAGCUCCGGCUAACUCCGUG
Molecule: ribosomal RNA, 432 nt
Filed under: uncultured bacterium
Lineage: Bacteria
Description: partial 16S ribosomal RNA
Rfam family: Bacterial small subunit ribosomal RNA
Source: RNAcentral